GAAAUAACAAUUUCCAUACUUGAUAUAUACAUCAAUAAAGCUUUGGCCCAAAUGGCACAGAAGACAUACAACUACGGAUUAACAUUUUGGUAGAUUUCAGGCUUAUAGCCCUGUCUAACCUUCUGCUAAUACCAUAGAAUAGAAAUCAUUCUCUUACGGAGACAUGUUCUACAUGGCCAGAUGCUACAUACCAGUACCAACAUGAAUCUAAGUCCUUUUAUUGAUCACAUGGUCAAAGGUAUUUCUUUGCUAUUAAAAAUAGCGAUUAAAAAUAACCCGGGAAAAUAACCCAUAAUAAUAACACUGAAAAGCACGUAGCACAUAUAACACAUAACAUACAAUUGUUCCUAUAUAUUAAACUCACCGUGAAAUAACCGGGGGCUAAAAUAUUAAUUUGGUCAGCACUUCGGCUAUAAAUAUAACUUUCUUCUUUGAAAAUCGGGAGUUUUCUUGAUAACCGGGCUCUGCGAUGGUAAAGCUUCAAAACCGAUAAGAUAAAUUUUUCAGGCUUCUUGGGCACUUCGGGGCGUGUUUCGGCCUUUGGAAUUAGUAUCGGGAUUUUGGGGAAGUCAGAAGGGUGAAAAAUGCCAAAUUUCAAACAUCUAACCGGGAGGUCUCGCACCCCUUAUAUAGGUACGAGCCUCAGAUCCGAAGCGAGGGGGUGAGGGCAGGUGGCUGCGAGGCUCGGACCAAGUGGCAGUAGGGCGAGGCUCAGACCGACAGGUGCUCGCUUCGCAUUGGUCGAAUGAAGCGGCUUCUGGCUUCGGAUCGGGUCGACUGCCUCAGUCGAAUGAGGAGUCUACACGUGGGUCGGGCACGAGGGCGCAUGCGAGAUCACGUGAUUUCAGACAGAUGUCAGCUCCUAAGUGGACCGAGCUUCGUCUCUGGGGAAAGAGGUGAUGAAUUCGGACCAAUCAGUGUGUGCCAGGCAAGGCUGAAGUCCAAUCAGAAGAAGCCACGUGGAUCGAACACUAUUCAUGCGAAAAUUAUCGAAAAAUGUGCCCAAUCUUGUAAAAUCCAUAACUUUCUCAUACGGACUUCGUAUUUGACGUUCUUUAUAUGCACGCGUAGGUAAAAUUAUGCUCUACAACUUUUUUUUAGACUUCAUCGGCUAAUUUUGAAUUUAUUUUUAAUAUUAUUAUUUUCAACAGACCGGGACAGGAAAAUCCGUUAAAAAUUCAUAACUUCUUCAGCCGACAUCCAUUUUCGUCAGACUUUUUACCGUUGUACUACUAAUGACGAGACCUUCAAUUCUCGUUUAGGUUGUGUCGGCUAAAAAUCACUCGAUCUAAAAUUCGAGUUUUUAGUUGUCUAUUACUAAGCUGAAACUUAGAAAAAUCAUAACUUCCUCAUACGAAGUAAGAUUUUGGCAUUCUUUUUUUAUCAAACUUCUCGGUUUAAAAAAUACUAAGAAUUUCAUUUACAUUACUAAGGCUAAAAAGUAGUUUAUCAAAAACUCACUUUUCACGUCAUUCGGCGCUGUGCCGGUUUUGUCGCAGAUCUUCGAUUGGUCAUAACUUCUUCGUUAUAACUCGGAUUUUGAUGAGGUUUUCGCCUAAAUGUUUCUAACGAAACUAUCUACAACUUUCAAUAAAAAAAAUUUACUUAUUCAAAAUUUUAUAUUUUCGUUAAAUUUCACUAUUUUACAUUUGAUUGGAAUCUCAUAAGACUUUGAAUACUUUAUGAAUGAUUCUAAGCAUAGUUUUACUUCAAUUCUAGUAAAAACUAUAUGUUAGAACUCAACAUUCAAAUUCACAUAAUAUUUGAUAAUAUUAUUUACUUAAAACACGAUUUCAAAACAUAUAUGUUACAAAUACCUCCUCUUUUUGAGGAUUUCGUCCCCGAAAUUAAAUCGAUUAAAAUAAAUGGGUAUAUUUAGCUCUUAUCUCAUUCUUAUUUUCCCAAGUAUAAUUUGGGCCUCGAUGGUGUUUCCAAUUUACAAGCACCAACUCUACUUCUUUAUUACAUAGAUUAGUUAUUCUUUCAUUCACGAUCUCUUCCGGCUCUUCUACAUAUCUUAACUUAUUAUCCAAAUUCACCUCGGAUAAUGGAACUGUCUUAUCAUUGAUGCUCAAGCAUUUGCGCGGAUAGCUCACAUGAAACACAUCAUGAAUACUUGCCAAAUCUUCUGGCAAUUCCAAGCGGUAUGCUUGUUUAUUAACUCUAUGGAUGAUUUUGAAAGGACCAACAAAUCUAGAGCUUAGUUUUCCUUUCUUCCCAAAUCGCAUAAUGCCUUUCCACGGGGAUACUUUUAGCAUUGUGAAAUCACCCACCUGGAAUUUUAUGGGUCAUCUCCUCUUUUCUGUAUAGGACUUCUGUCGAUCCUAGGACGCUUUCAUUCUUUCUCGUACAAUUUAAAUCUUGUUGGUGGUGUCUUGAAUCAUUUCAGGGCCUCCAAGGAUCUUCUGUCCUAUGUCUCGCCAACAUAAUGGAGUACGAAACUUGCGACCAUAUAAUGCCUCAUAUGGUGGCAUUUUGAUUGAACCAUGGUAACUGUUAUUAUACAAGAAUUCGACAAGAGGUAAGUAUUUAUCCCAGUUACCACCGAACUCCACCACACAUGCACGAAGCAUAUCUUCAACUGUUUUGAUUGUUCUCUCCGUUUGACCAUCUGUUUGUGGAUGAUAAGCUGUGCUAAGAGCAACUCGAGAUCCCAAUUCACGUUGCAUACUCGCCCAAAAGUGAGAAGUGAAGCGAGUAUCACGAUCGGAAAUGAUCUUUAGUGGCACACCGUGUCUUGCAACAAUUUCAUCCAAGUAUACUUGUGCGUAUUUCUCCAUUGGAGACAUUUCACGCAUGGCAAGAAAAUGAGCGCUUUUAGUCAGGCAUUCGACGAUUACCCAAAUGCUAUCAUGCUGUGUAGCAGUCUUUGGAUAAUUUUGUAAUGAAAUCCAUGGACAGUUCUUCCCAUUUCCAUACAGGAACACUAAGACUUUCUGGGGUUCCAUAAGGCUUUUGGUGCUCUACUUUGACUUGUAAGCAUACUAAGCAUUCUUAUACAUAUCUUCCAAUGUCUCUCUUUAAUCCAGGCCACCAAUAAUCAGCUCUUACAUCAUAAUACAUUUUACUUGUACCGGGAUGUAUUGACAGUUUAGAUUUAUUGGUUUCAUCAAAAAUCUUGUGUCUUAAUCCACCAAUCUUGGAAUCCACAGUCGAUUCUUGAAUACUUUUAAUCCUCGCGGAUCAUCAAGUAAAGCAUCAUUAUAAUGAAUCAUCCCUUCUUUCUUCACAUUUUCUGGCUUUAGGGCCUCUUCUUUCCAUUUCUCUAAUUCAUCUAAAAUAGUGAAUUUUACUGUAGUAGGAGUAAUAGCAUAACACAUACCAUUGCGAUAAACCUUUCUGCUAAGUGCAUCGGCAACUACGUUGGCUUUUCUAGGAUGAUAUAGGAUUUCACAAUCAUAAUCUUCGAUUAGCUCCAUGGCCCGUUGUUGUCUCAUAUUCAAAUUUUUCUGACUGAAUAUGUACUUGAGCCUUUUGUAGUCGGUAAAUAACUGCCAUUUUGUACCAAAAAGAUAAUGCCUCCAAAGUUUUAGGGCAAAUACCACUGCAGCGAGUUCGAGAUCAUGAGUGGGAUAAUUCUUUUUAUAAUCUUUCUGUUGUCUUGAGGCAUAGGCAAUCACUUUGCCACGUUGCAUCAACACACAACUGUGUCCCAAUCUUGUAGCAUCGCUAUAUACGGGGAAAUCAUCAUCACCUUCUGGGAGUGAUAAGAUUGGAGCAUGAGUCAAAAGAUCUUUUAGAGUUGAGAAAGCUUUUUCUUGGGCUUCAUCCCAUUCGAACUUCACUUCCUUCCGUGUAAGACUCGUGAGAGGUACGGCUAUAAAACAAAAGUCUUUAAUGAAUCUCCGGUAAUAUCCCAUGAGACCCAAGAAACUACGAAUUUCGGAAGCAUUAUGGGGCACUUCCCAAUUUUGAAUGGCUUCGAUUUUGAUAGGAUCUACGGAUACACCAUCACUAGAAAUAAUGUGGCCGAGAAAUUGAACUUGGCAAAGCCAAAAUUCACAUUUUGAGAAUUUCGUAUAUAGUUUCUCCUUUCGAAGAAGUUCUAAUACCGCACGAAUAUGAAUGACAUGAUCAGCUUCAGACUUGGAAUAGGUUAGAAUAUCUUCAAUGAAUACGAUGACGGAUUAUCGAGCAUUGGGCGGCAUACCCAAUUCAUCAUAUCCAUGAAUACAGCAGGAGCAUUUGUUAAACCAAAUGGCAUAACAAGGAAUUCAUAAUGCCCAUAUCGAGUACGAAAAGCAGUCUUCGGUACAUCCUGCUCGUGAACUUUCAACUGAUGAUAGCCAGAUCUUAGAUCAAUCUUUGAGAAAUAGCUAACACCCUGAAGUUGAACGAACAAAUCGUCGAUGCGAGGUAGUGGGUACUUGUUCUUGAUAGUCACAUUAUUCAGCUUACUAUAAUCACUGAACAUCCACAUCGAUCCAUCUUUACAAACAGUACCCGAGCGCCCCAGGGAGAGGUACUCGGUCGAAUGAAACCCUUGUCAAGUAGUUCCUGUAGUUGGAUCAUCUUUUCUUUCAUCUCAGCUUGCGCAAGACGAUAAGGAGUCUUUGCAAUCGGAGCAGCACCAGGCACAAGGUCAAUUCGGGAUUCUACUUGCCUAUCCGGAGGAAGGCCAUGCAUGUCAUUGGGAAAAACAUUAGGAUAUUCGUUAACAACGGGAACAUCAUUUAUAGUUUUCUUCUCCUCUUUUGAGACAUCAAUUGUGUAGGCCAGAUAGGUAGAACACCCUUUCAAUAUGAAUUUACGAGUUUUAAGGAAAGAGAUUAUUUUUAAGAUUCUUUGUUUACCGUAGACAUAGACAGGAUUCUCCCUUUCAAUAGGAAUGUGUACUAUCUUUUCAUAGCACAAGAGUUCCGCGUGGUUCUUUGAUAACCAAUCCAUACCGAGAAUAAUAUCAAAGUUGGGCAAGGAGAUAGGGAUCAGAUUAGCAGGAAAAUUAUAGCCUUCAAUUUCUAUAACACAAUCCUUAUAGACUUUAUCAUCAAGUAAUGAUAUACUUCCUGUAGUAUCUACGUGAAAUGGUUGUGCGAGUACAAAGCAAGCAAUUUGAAAGGAAUGCACACAUUUAUAAGACAUAAAAGAAUUUGUGGCACCAGAAUCAAAUAAGAUGUGAUCAGUUCUAGAGGUUACAAGAAAUGUACCCGUCACAACAUUCGGGUCCUCGCGUGCCUCCUCUGAGGUAAUCUAGAAUGCACGACCCUUAGCUUUUGGCACCUCCUCCUUUUUAGUUGGAGUACCCUUUGGUUGUUGAACAGGGACUUGGCUUCUCGCCGGUUCUUGAAUAGAAGUUUGACUUCCCAUCAUCUGACUAGUAAGAGUAGGGCAAAAACGCUUCUUGUGGCCAGUAAUACCACAUGCAUAGCAAGUAACAUCCUUUCUUGGGUAAUCUGGCUUUAUAUGACCAUUUUCUCCACAUCCAUAACAGACAAUGGUUUCAUUGUCUAUUUUGCAUUAGCCCGGAUGAUUCCUUCCACAAACACGACAUGAAGGCGAUUGAAUAGAAAUAGAUUGUGAUCUACCACGUCCACGAGAGACAUUUUUCGUUUGAACUUGAUUACCAGGUUCAGUCCGAACGGAUUGAGCUGGUAGAAAAGAAGGAACAGGAAUAGUUCUUUCAGUAUGUGGAUGCUUUAGAGCAGUAAAAGUGGUACCACGUAUUUCUAAGUCAUGCUUGCGUCUUCGAGCAUACUCAACGGCUUUAUCGAAUGAUAGAACUUCUCGAUUGGCAACGAAAUCAUGGAUUACGUGUCGUAGUCCCUCCAUGAAUAACUGAGUUUUCUCGUCUUCAGUUGGAAUAUACUUUGUAGCAAACCUUGCUCUUUGAUUAAACUGAGUUUCAUACUUAUUCAUAGUCAUUCCUCCUUGUUUAAGCUUGAGGAAUUCCUUCUCCAAUCUCCUCCUCAUGUCUAGAGGAAAAUACUUCUCUAGAAAACGAGUUUUAAACAUUUCCGAGGCUAAACUCUCCUGGUCAAACCCGUUUAGAGCUUCAUAUGUUGCUUCCCACCAGACCAAGGCUUCUCCGAUGAGCAUUGCGGAAGCAUAAUUAGCCUUGUCUUCAUUAUCCACAUGAGAAAUAUAAAACACUUUCUCUGUGUUUUCGAUCCAUGUAAGAACAAUAAUGGGAUUAAGAACACCGGAAAACUCUGUAGCACCACUACUCUUGAAAUCUUUGAACGAUAGACGUUUCACCUCUCCUUUUGAAGAUUCUCUAGUGGCUUUCUCUUUUCCCCUAUCACCAUUCUUUUUGUGUUCUUCGAGAGUCUGUCGAAUAACACCGGUAAGUUUACCCAAGAGUCGCUCCUCACGAGGAGAUACUGGAGUAUUCACUUCCUCGGGUUGAGGACCUCCACCAACCUCAGGGAUAUGGCUACUAACCUGUUCAGCCAUUCCUCUGCAAUAUGGAGUAACAUUGUAUUUUAAAACAUUAGGGUUUAUUAUUACCUAAUACUUUUACUUAAAUAUUUCCUAUGGUUUGUAUCCAUAUACUUACAAUGAAUCCGUUGAUAUAUUGAACUUCGAAUAGUUUAAGUCUAAAUACCAAUCCGUGGAAUUUAGUUCACUCAAACUACUGCUCUGAUACCAUGAUUGAAAGACCCUCACUUUCGUAUUUAUGAAAGACCCAAACUUCCAUACUUGACAAUAUAGUUACUCCAAAACAUGCUACUUGCAUAUUCAUAAAAACAAUAUUUUACAUUGAUAAAGAGGUUACAAACUACUGGAUACAAACCGACUAUUUUAAAGUGUUAUAUAUUACAUAACUUCCCAGGAUUCUAUAGUUUUAUACAUAUGGGAGUGCAAAAUACAAUAGUUUCAAACUAUUCAUAAGCUUCUAUCGAUACAAUAGUUUCAAACUAUUCAAAAAUCUUCUACCAGUAUAUAACUAUACUGGAUGCUUAUCUCCUGCAAUUUGUUAAACAUUGAGAGGGUAAGCGGUGACGCUUAGUGAGUUCAAUAAUAGAUACAAUAUAACGUUAUGCCAUAUAUAUACUUUAAUAUGGCAGAAGCAAAGAGGAACAAGGAACAACAAGGGCAUAUGUGAAUCAUGUGACAAACAUUCCAUAUCAAUCAUUGAUUUGAUUUAAAGAUAUACAAUCAAUGAGACAUAACAAUUUCCAUGCUUGAUAUACAUCAAUAAAGCUUUGGCCCAAACGGCACAGAAGAUAUACAACUUCGGAUUAACAUUUCGGUAGAUUUCAGGCUUAUAGCCCUGUCUAACCUUCUGCCACUACCAUAGAAUAGAAUUCAUUCUCUUACGGAGACAUGUUCCACAUGGCCAGAGGCUACAUACCAGUACCAACGUGAAUCUANAUCUAACAUUCUGCCAAUACCGUAGAAUAUAAAUCAUUCUCUUACAGAGACAUGUUGUAACAGCCCAAAAUCUCAAGUAUUGCUAAGUUGCAUUUUGGGGGUGUUUUAAAGGGGAGACUCGGCGAGUUGGAGCCAGACUCGCCGAGUAGGGUCUCAGACUUGGUCGCGGGUUCGCGACUGGACUCGACGAGUCCAGAUAUAGACUCGGCGAGUCGACGCUGUUCAGCGGAAACCCUAACCGUUCAGUAUUGGGUCGUAUAUAAGGGUUAUUAUGCCGUCAUUUCACGACGUUUGAUCGAUUGGGAAGAACCCUAGGCGACUGUGGCGGCUAGAGCAAGCUUGAAGGCCAUUGGUGACCUUGAAGGAAUUGUUGUGCAAGGAGGAGAGGGGUUUUAGCUAAAGGAACUGCAGGGAGUUCGAGUUCUGAAGUUUGGGGACAUGGAAGGUACAUCAUUCAGGUAAUAAUUCGGAUUACAUUCUCCUGUGAUUGAUGUGUAUAUAGAUUUAGGGUUUAUGGAACCCAUUUGGAGUCUAGAUGGAUUGUUGUGUUGUUAUUCAACGUUUAUAACCUUGUAUUAGGACCCUUAGAGGUCCAGAAGGUCCCAUGUUUGUAUAUUCGAGAAUAUAUGUAUCUCAGGAAGCAGUUCGAUCGACUGCAUGGCGUGGACUCGCCGAGUCGGAUGAUCAGACUCGGCGAGUAGCUUGAAGAUUCACUGGGACUCGCCGAGUUUGUUCUUCAGGCUCGGCGAGUAGAGUCGGGGUGGCCCCGCGAUUCUUCCACGAGGACCUCGUCGAGUCAAGAGGGAUACUCGACGAGUAGAAAGGGAUCAUGCAGGAAUUGGUGAGGACGACUAGACUCGCCGAGUCGCCAGGGUACUCGCCGAGUCCAGUCGAGAUGGCCGUUGACCAGAGUUGACCUGUGUGUAACGUUUUAGGGUCAGUUAACGUGGAAGAUAGAAGUAUUAAAAAGAGAUAUAUGAUGAGACAGGGAGCUUGUAGCUCGGAGGAUCAAGUGCAAGAGAUUUCAGGAGUUGCUAUCUUCCAGUGUCCGCGAGGUGAGUCUUCUCACUAUACUGUACCCGGAAGGGUUUGACUGUGUGACCGGAAGGUCGGAUAUGAUAUGUGAUAUGUAUGCUAUAUGUGGUAAGUUAUUUGUUAUAUGUGCUAUGUAUGUUAUGGGCCGGAAGGCGAUUAUAUUAUGGGCCGGAAGGCAAUAUGUUAUGGGCCGGAAGGCGAUAUGAUGUGUGAUGGACCGGAAGGUCGGCGUGGGUAAGGCCGGAAGGUUUACCCAGCAGGGACGGAAGUCCCCUGAGACACAUGGACCGGAAGGUCGGGCCUGGAAAGGCGUAUGUGCGUAAGUUGUAUAUUGGGGAACUCACUAAGCAUCGUGCUUACAGUAUUUAUGUUAUGUUGUUUCAGGUUCUUUCAGUAACGCGGAAUGGCAUCGGCUCGAUUGUACACACCGAGGAAAGAGUUGUAUUUUGGAGGAUCCUGGUUGUCUAUUCAAAUGAAAAUGGAACUAUGUUUUGUAAUUCGAAUAUGAAUAAGAUUUUAAACAAGUGUUUUAAUAUUAAAUUGAUUAUUUAAAUGAAAAAUUUUGCUUUGAAAAUCACGGUGUUACAAUUGGUAUCAGAGCCUUGGUUUGAGGGAUUCGGACGCGCCUACGGGUGAGUCUGGACUCAAACUGAGGAAUUAAGAAAAGGUUUUCAAAUAAAUAGUUUUCUAAAAGUGAAUAAGAGUUCAAAGAGAAAGCAAGAAAGAGCAGUGUGUACAAUCAGCCAGAGCCAAACGGUGAUUUCCCAAAAUACCCUUACUUUUGUAUUAUGAAAUAUCUAUUAUGCACUUUAUGAGACAUUAUUGCAUGCUAGAGACAGGCUAGGUAUUUCACAUCUUAGGACUAGAGUGGCCUGAUUUGUGAUGCCUUAGUCUAGGGUUUGCUGUUAUAUGUGCGUUAUGCUUUUGUGUGUAUGUGAUGAGUGAGAGUAUCUAGUUAGAACGCACAAGGGGUAAAGCUACGGGGUACAGAGGUACUUCCGAGGAUGAGCCGAGAAGGUGGAGCUACCACAGAUGGGGAGUCCUAUGUAUGCUUCAAUGCUCGAAUGCUGCUUGCUUUGUGCUUUGUGGAGUUAUCGAUGAUGGGAGUCAGCUACUAAGUGAGUAUGACGAUACUCAGGAGGUAGAGGGCUGGCAUCAUUAGGAACUCUUCAGCAGCUGAUAGCAAAGAAGUGGGAGGACAGCGGAAGGGACUAGGGAGUAAACCUAGCCAGAUGAGUGCGCUGGUAGAGUAGAGGAUUUCGCUGGAAAGCGAGCACGCGCGAUGAGAUGGGUGAAAGAGCAGGUUUAUCAGCUACUUAGGAACUCUGGGAUGGUCCGUGUGGAAAGUAUGGGUAGAUGUGGCAGGUAGUAUGGGCCCGUACUACUGAAAGCAGAGGACCCAUACUUGAUACAGGGGGCAUUCUGAAGGUCCUAAGGAACAGAUUGAGGGGUGAUGUUAUGGUUCGGAUACCAUACAUCGGAGCGGAUACAGAGUGAUGUUAUGGUCCGGGCACCAUACAUCGGAACAGAUUGAGAUAGAUGUUGUGGUCCGAGUGCUAUACAUUGGAGCAGAUUGAGGAGUGGUGCUAUGGUUCAGGUACCAUACACCGAAGCAUGUUGAGGAGGGAUGUCAUGGGAUGAGUACCAUGGUUCGUAGUGGAUGAUGCUUGUGGCUAUCUUGUUAUCCGGUUAUCGAUCGGACGAGCACGAGCGAGCGGGAUGCGAGGAUUCGCGAGAUCCUGCGUGAUGAGGUUGCUGCAUUGUUGCGGGCUGAGUCGCCAGAAUUGUUUGGGUCGAUCAGGACCACUAUGAUUGAAGUAGUUUGAUGAGCGAUAUGCGGCUUUCGCAGAGACGGCUGCCGCGGCGGUUACAGCGGCUGUAGCAACGGCAAAGAAAGGGGCUAGUCGGGGUUUUCAGUAUCGGGACUUCUAUUAUGCGAAGCCUCCCACAUUCGAUGGAGUUCAGGACUCGAUUGUUGCUAUGAGAUGGUUAUCAGACAUGGAGGGGUGUUUCUCCACGAGUUUAUGCCCUGCUGAUCAGAGGGUGGGGUGUGCUCUGAACCUGUUGAGGCUCGGGGCGAAGGAUUGGUGGAGAUUGACCACGAGGUCAUUUUCCGAUGCGCAGAGGGCUGCGGUUUCAUGGGAUCAAUUCAGAGGGAUGUUCAGUACUCGCUAUGUUCCGCGGGAUGAAAAGGAGAAAUUGGCUCGGAAGUUCCUUAAGCUGAAGCAGGAUUUGGAGUCGGUGACUGAGAGCACCGGGAUGUUUAUUGAGAGGGCGAUGUUUUGCCCUGAGUUCGCUUCGGAGCAGGCUCAGAUGUCCCGAUAUCCGAGUAUGCUCAAGGGGGGGUAUCAGACAGUUCGUGUCUGCGCAGAGGCGCGAGACCGUGUUGGUAUCGCAGGAGGCCGCCAUGUGGCGUGAGUUAGAGGUUGAGUUGCAGUUGCGUGAGAUGAGGCAGGCCCCGAUGCAGUCGCAGUCGGCGCCGAAACGGUCCAUGACCGUAGACGUUAGAAUGGGGGAUCGGAGCGGUCACACUUGUGGGAAGUGUGAGAGAGAUGGCACCGGAGCUUGUUGGCCCAGUGGUGCAUGCCGCAAGUGCGGAAAGGAGGGGCAUGGUGCACGGGAUUGUCGGCAGUCAGUGCCAAUUCGGGAUUUCAGGAUUUGUUAUCAGUGUCGGCAGGUUGGACAUUUGAGGGUCAACCGUCCACAGUUUCCUGCAGGACCGGUGCAGGCUCUAGCAUCGGCCACCUUGAGGAGUUCAGGAGGAGGACAGGAUGGAGCAGAGCCCAAGGGCUCAGGGUCGUGCUUAUCGGCUUGCGGCAGAGGGAGACGGAGCAGUGCCGGAGGCAGCUGCGGGUAUGAUGCUCUCUUGAUGUCUUGAGUAGCUUGCGUUGAUUGUGGCGUAUUGUUUGUGCUGGUGUCUGGUGUGGAUUUCGAUGCGGUAUUCGUUGUUUCGCGGGUUUGGCAUGGUUAUGGAUUGGUGCUUCAGGUUUUCGCUUGGCAUUCGUUGUUCCCUGAUGGUUUAGUAUGAUUAUAGUUUGGUGUUUUGGUACCGGUAGCCUUGUGCGGUUUUCGAUGCGAUAUUCAACCUUUGGCAGGUUGUGGGUUUGGUUAUGGGUUAUUGCUUGGGAAUUCCGUUGGUCAUCGUUCGUGAGGGUUGAUAGUGGAGAUGCGGCACUGGGUUGAAUGACGGGUAGCAUCUGCAGUUGUGGAGUGGAUAAUUGAAAGAUCGGAUUCUUUUGAGCGGAUUGAUCAGGGAGGAGAUGUGUUUUGCUGAGGGUUGCUUACGCUUGUGGGAAGCAGUCAGUGGGUAAAUGUUCUCUUUGUGCAGGAUGGUUCUGAAAGGUCGUUAAUGACGAUCGGUGGCAGUUAGUCAGUGCUUUAGUGGGGGAGAAUUGUAAAAUUCUCCGGGAGAUCGAUGAGUAUGUAAGGGUGCUUAGCUGUUGGGAUUCAGCAGUGUUUGUCAGCGCAAAGUAUAGGCCGACGAGAGCGAGUGUUGGGUAUGCGGGGCGAGAUACAGACCUAGGGCAUUUGAUUGUGGAGGCCUGAGAGGAGGUCGGGAUCAAGCUUGAGUAAGUAAUCGGAAUUUUGCGAUCAGAGUAUUGGUACGUUUGAGGUACGUGAUGGGUUGUACUGCAUUAAUCCCACGGGAUUAUGUUGUGCAUGUUUCUAGAGCUGGAACCGGAAGGUUCCCAGAGUUAGAACCUGAGGGUUCGCAGAGUUUGGGUGUACGGACCCACAGAGAUAUAGCCUCGAGUGGCUAGUAUGUGUUAUGAGAGUCGGUCCAGUCAUACUGGAGACUCUGUUGGUAUUGCUGGAUUAGUUUGAGAUUUGCGGAUCGCGUAUGUUGCAGUGUGAUUGCAUUGGAAGGUCUGGCCCCGGGUUAUUGAUCUUGUUUAGCGGAGGCAGUGAUUUUGAUGAGUGGAGAGAGUGCAUGGGAUUGAGAGCCCCUGCAAUGAGAACCAGAGUAUGUGAAUAGCAGUUACGCAAAAAGGGUGGUGUCGCUUGGGGCGAGCACCGUGGCACCGGUUGGAGUGGCAUUAUGUUCAAGAGAGUUCCGUGGAAAAGGAAAAGAGGAGGGUAUGUAACUCCGAAGGGGGUGCAAGUUCACGAAAGUGAAAGCUGCAGAGCAGAGUUAUGGUUAGAGUAUUUCGAGUAUGGUUUUGAGCAUCGUGUUCGCGGCAGUGGAGUAGGAACCCAUCCGGUUGGGAUGUCUGUUGAGGCUCAGAAGGGAUGCAUGGAGAGAGAAAAUUUUAAAUUCUCAGUGUGAAUCUGAUCAGAGUGUAGGGUGGAUGUAGUGGUUCAUCUUGGGAGAUGUUCGAGGAUAUCAUCAGUGUAUCGGGUCUUUCCACCUGCGGGUGUUGGGACUAGUUCAGUAUGUGUAUGUGAUGGCAAGAGGGAACUUGUGAGAGUUGAUCUGAGAGGGAGAACGGAUCUCUCAGUCGGUCCGGAAUGGGCAAAGUGGGCUUUGGAUCGGGGAUCCGGUGGUUCAGGGUUUCCUAACCCUUAUGGGUUGAGUGAUCGUUGAGAUUUGGAGCAGAGUGCAUCUUGGGUAAUUUCCGAUUACAGAGAGUGAUGAGCAGUUCAGAGUUCGUACUUUAGUUGACAAAGCAGACUCAGCAGGUUAAAGAGAGUUAGUGAUCGUCUAGAGUUAACAGGAAAGUUAUGCAGGCAGACGCCGUUACGAGCAUGUGAUUCAGGUCAGCGACUUCGUAUUUCUGACGGGGUGCUUCGAUUUAGGAAGAGGGGUAAAUGGGGGGCCCCGGUAUGUUGGGUCUUUUCGUGAAGGUGCGAAGGUAGGAAGGGUGGCCUAUCGUUUGGAGCUGUCAACGGAAUUGGGACGGAUCCAUGACACUGGUAUGUGUCGCAGUUGAAGAGGUGUAUAGCGGAUGAGUCAGCAGUGGUUCUACUAGAGAACGAUUAGGUGGAUGCGAGCCUGUGUUACGUCGAGAGGCCAGUGGCCGUCGGAGAUCGGAAGAUCAAGGUUCUGAGGAACAAGGAGGUACCUCUGGUAUUGGUUCAGUAGCGGCCUCGGAAGAUAUCGGAAGUGUUUAGGGAAGCCGAAACGUGUGAUGCGGGAGCAGCAUCCAGAACUAUUUUCAGAGUGAGACUUCGAGGGCGAAGUCUAAUUCUAGUGGGGGAGAAUUGUAACAGCCCAAAAUCUCAAGUAUUGUUAAGUUGCAUUUUGGGGGUGUUUUAAAGGGGAGACUCGACGAGUUGGAGCCAGACUCGCCGAGUAGGGUCGCAGGUUUGGUCGCGGGUUCACGACUGGACUCGACGAGUCCAGAUAUGGACUCGGCGAGUCGACGCUGUUCAGCGGAAACCCUAGCCGUUCAGUAUUGGGUCGUAUAUAAGGGUUAUUAUGCCGUCAUUUCACGACUUUUGAUCGAUUGGGAAGAACCCUAGGCGACUGGGGCGGCUAGAGCAAGCUUGAAGGCCAUUGGUGACCUUGAAGGAAUUGUUGUGCAAGGAGGAGAAGGGUUUUAGCUAAAGGAACUGCAGGGAGUUCGAGUUCUGAAGUUUGGGGACAUGGAAGGUACAUCAUUCAGGUAAUAAUUCGGAUUACAUUCUCCUGUGAUUGAUGUGUAUAUAGAUUUAGGGUUUAUGGAACCCAUUUGGAGUCUAGAUGGAUUGUUGUGUUGUUAUUCAACGUUUAUAACCUUGUAUUAGGACCCUCAGAGGUCCAGAAGGUCCCAUGUUUGUAUAUUCGAGAAUAUAUGUAUCUCAGGAAGCAGUUCGAUCGACUGCAUGGCGUAGACUCGCCGAGUCGGAUGAUCAGACUCGGCGAGUAGCUUGAAGAUUCACUGGGACUCGCCGAGUUUGUUCUUCAGGCUCGGCGAGUAGAGUCGGGGUGGCCCCGCGAUUCUUCCACGAGGACCUCGUCGAGUCAAGAGGGAUACUCGACGAGUAGAAAGGGAUC
This 14266-nucleotide long non-coding RNA is filed under the name Lactuca sativa (garden lettuce). RNAcentral's name for it is "long non-coding RNA (LSAT_LNC002363)". Lineage: Eukaryota; Viridiplantae; Streptophyta; Magnoliopsida; Asterales; Asteraceae. The record is from RNAcentral.